Molecule: ribosomal RNA, 492 nt
Filed under: uncultured bacterium
Lineage: Bacteria
Description: partial 16S ribosomal RNA
Rfam family: Bacterial small subunit ribosomal RNA
Source: RNAcentral
AGUGAACGCUGGCGGUAGGCCUAACACAUGCAAGUCGAACGGCAGCACAGUAAGAGCUUGCUCUUACGGGUGGUGAGUGGCGGACGGGUGAGGAAUACAUCGGAAUCUACUUUUUCGUGGGGGAUAACGUAGGGAAACUUACGCUAAUACCGCAUACGACCUACGGGUGAAAGCAGGGGAUCUUCGGACCUUGCGCGAUUGAAUGAGCCGAUGUCGGAUUAGCUAGUUGGCGGGGUAAAGGCCCACCAAGGCGACGAUCCGUAGCUGGUCUGAGAGGAUGAUCAGCCACACUGGAACUUAGACACGGUCCAGACUCCUACGGGAGGCAGCAGUGGGGAAUAUUGGACAAUGGGCGCAAGCCUGAUCCAGCCAUACCGCGUGGGUGAAGAAGGCCUUCGGGUUGUAAAGCCCUUUUGUUGGGAAAGAAAAGCAGCAGGUUAAUACCCCGCUGUUCUGACGGUACCCAAAGAAUAAGCACCGGCUAACUUCGUG